RNAcentral lists this ribosomal RNA (433 nucleotides) under uncultured bacterium. Its description in RNAcentral is "partial 16S ribosomal RNA". It matches the Rfam family "Bacterial small subunit ribosomal RNA", at positions 29 to 507 of the family's 1533-position model. The record is from RNAcentral.
AACGAACGCUGGCGGCAUGCCUAACACAUGCAAGUCGAACGAGACCUUCGGGUCUAGUGGCGCACGGGUGCGUAACGCGUGGGAACCUGCCCUUAGGUUCGGAAUAACUCCCCGAAAGGGGUGCUAAUACCGGAUAAUGUCUUCGGACCAAAGAUUUAUCGCCGUUGGAUGGGCCCGCGUUGGAUUAGCUAGUUGGUAGGGUAAAAGCCUACCAAGGCGGCGGUCCAUAGCUGGUCUGAGAGGAUGAUCAGCCACACUGGGACUGAGACACGGCCCAGACUCCUACGGGAGGGAGCCGUGGGGAAUAUUGGAAAAUGGGCGAAAGCCUGAUGCAGCAAUGCCGCGUGAGUGAUGAAGGCCUUAGGGUUGUAAAGCUCUUUUACCCGGGAUGAUAAUGACAGUACCGGGAGAAUAAGCACCGGCUAACUCCGUG